This is a small nuclear RNA of Peromyscus maniculatus bairdii (prairie deer mouse), 137 nucleotides long. The record is from Ensembl. Lineage: Eukaryota; Metazoa; Chordata; Mammalia; Rodentia; Cricetidae.
GUGCUGUAUGAAAGGUUGGCAUCACUGUCAAGCCACGGAAGAGGCCCUGGGACCUAACAGCACACAUACAGUUAAGGCUUUGCCGCCUGUCAUGUGCUUUGCAGAGCCAGUGCCUUUGUGGGUAGCUUGUUCCUUUU